RNAcentral lists this ribosomal RNA (398 nucleotides) under uncultured bacterium. RNAcentral describes it as "partial 16S ribosomal RNA". It matches the Rfam family "Bacterial small subunit ribosomal RNA", at positions 523 to 918 of the family's 1533-position model. The record is from RNAcentral.
AUACGUAGGGUGCGAGCGUUGUCCGGAAUUACUGGGCGUAAAGAGCUCGUAGGUGGUUUGUCGCGUCGUCUGUGAAAUUCCGGGGCUUAACUCCGGGCGUGCAGGCGAUACGGGCAUAACUUGAGUACUGUAGGGGAGACUGGAAUUCCUGGUGUAGCGGUGAAAUGCGCAGAUAUCAGGAGGAACACCGGUGGCGAAGGAGGGUCUCUGGGCAGUAACUGACGCUGAGGAGCGAAAGCAUGGGUAGCGAACAGGAUUAGAUACCCUGGUGGUCCAUGCCGUAACCGGUGGGCGCUAGGUGUAGGGGUCUUCCACGACUUCUGUGCCGUAGCUAACGCAUUAAGCGCCCCGCCUGGGGAGUACGGCCGCAAGGCUAAAACUUAAAGGAAUUGACGGGG